AAAAACUAUAUGCAAUCAAUUAAGAAGGAAACAGAAUGUGCUAUAGUAUAUGUAGACAUUGCAAAUUAUGAAAAAUAGAAAACACGAACUAGUUAAAUAUAAAUUCUGGCUAUUUACUCUUCAAGACCGGGAUUCAUUAUUACCUGGAGUGUUGUCACCAAAUAGUUCGUUAAAUGAAGAGCGUUAAGAUACGUGCCAGCUUUGCUGUCCGUAAAGAAAUGGGCCAAUCAGACUUGAACCAAUGG
RNAcentral lists this long non-coding RNA (245 nucleotides) under Physcomitrium patens. Its description in RNAcentral is "long non-coding RNA (PPAT_LNC005222)". Lineage: Eukaryota; Viridiplantae; Streptophyta; Bryopsida; Funariales; Funariaceae. The record is from RNAcentral.